AACGCACAUUGCACCCUCUGGUAUUCCGGAGGGUAUGCCUGUUUGAGUGUCAUUAAUAUCUCAACACAGAACAGGUUUACUACCUGUGCUGGUUGCUUGGAUGUUGAAGGCUUGCUGGUGUUUUUGAUUGCCGGCUCCUUUUAAAAUCAUUAGCAGAAAACAAUGCAACAAAUCUGGCUUCAGUCUGAUAAAGCACAUCAUCUGUUUUUGCUGUUGCUGGUGAAAAGCUAUUGUUUCAGCUUCUAACUGUCCACUUUGAUGGACUGUCUCAUCAGAGGCAUUGAAUUUUACCCUUGACCUCAAAUCAGGUAGGACUACCCGCUGAACUUAA
This 331-nucleotide unclassified non-coding RNA is filed under the name uncultured fungus. RNAcentral describes it as "partial contains 5.8S ribosomal RNA, internal transcribed spacer 2, and large subunit ribosomal RNA". The stretch from base 1 to 52 matches the Rfam family "5.8S ribosomal RNA", at positions 103 to 154 of the family's 154-position model. The record is from RNAcentral. Lineage: Eukaryota; Fungi.